UGACACAUGCAAGUCGGGCGGUGAACCCUGUCUUAUGAUGGGGGGAUCAGCGGCGGACGGGUGCGUAACACGUGGGCAACCUGUCCCAAAGUGGGGGACAACCAUUCGAAAGGAUGGCUAAUACCGCAUGUGCUCGGCAAACUUCGGUUUGUCGAGUAAAGGUCGGUGCUUCGGUACUGGCCGCUUUGGGAGGGGCCCGCGGCCUAUCAGGUAGUUGGUGAGGUAACGGCUCACCAAGCCGAUGACGGGUAGGGGGCGUGAGAGCGUGGCCCCCCACACGGGAACUGAGACACGGUCCCGACGCCUACGGGCGGCAGCAGUGAGGAAUCUUGCGCAAUGGGCGAAAGCCUGACGCAGCGACGCCGCGUGGGGGAUGAAGGCCGUGAGGUCGUAAACCCCUUUUCUGGGGGACGAGGAAGGACGGUACCCCAGGAAUAAGUCCCGGCUAACUACGUGCCAGCAGCCGCGGUAAUACGUAGGGGGCGAGCGUUAUCCGGAUUUACUGGGCGUAAAGCGCGCGCAGGCGGCCAUGUAAGUCGAGCGUGAAAGCUCCCGGCUCAACUGGGAGAGGUCGUUCGAUACUGCGUGGCUUGAGGUCGGGAGAGGAGAGUGGAAUUCCCGGUGUAGCGGUGAAAUGCGCAGAUAUCGGGAGGAACACCAGUGGCGAAGGCGGCUCUCUGGCCCGUACCUGACGCUCAGGCGCGAAAGCGUGGGGAGCGAAGGGGAUUAGAUACCCCCGUAGUCCACGCCCUAAACGAUGGGUGCUAGGUGUGGGUGGUUUAAAAGCCAUCCGUGCCGUAGCUAACGCGUUAAGCACCCCGCCUGGGGAGUACGGCCGCAAGGCUAAAACUCAAAGGAAUUGACGGGGGCCCGCACAAGCGGCGGAGCGUGUGGUUUAAUUCGAUGCAACGCGAAGAACCUUACCUGGGCUUGACAUGCCGGUAGUAGCGACUCGAAAGAGGAGCGAGCCCUUCGGGGCAGCCGGCACAGGUGCUGCAUGGCUGUCGUCAGCUCGUGCCGUGAGGUGUUGGGUUAAGUCCCGCAACGAGCGCAACCCUCGCCCCUAGUUACAUGUGUCUAGGGGGACUGCCGGCGACAAGCCGGAGGAAGGUGGGGAUGACGUCAAGUCAGCAUGGCCUUUAUGUCCAGGGCGACACACACGCUACAAUGGCCGGUACAAUGGGUUGCCAACCCGUGAGGGGGAGCUAAUCCCAAAAAGCCGGUCUCAGUUCGGAUUGCAGGCUGCAACCCGCCUGCAUGAAGUCGGAGUCGCUAGUAACCGUGGGUCAGCCAUACCGCGGUGAAUACGUUCCCGGGCCUUGUACACACCGCCCGUCACGUCAUGGGAGCCGGCAACACCUGAAGACGGUAGCCUAACCCGAAAGGGAGGGCGCCGUCCAAGGUGGGGUCGGUGACUGGGACGAAGUCGUAACAAGGUAACC
RNAcentral lists this ribosomal RNA (1442 nucleotides) under uncultured bacterium. RNAcentral describes it as "bacterial SSU rRNA". It matches the Rfam family "Bacterial small subunit ribosomal RNA". The record is from RNAcentral.